Plectropomus leopardus (leopard coralgrouper) is the source of this 67-nucleotide small nucleolar RNA. Lineage: Eukaryota; Metazoa; Chordata; Actinopteri; Perciformes; Serranidae. The record is from RefSeq and is a predicted model, not a curated record.
CUGGAUGUGAUGCAUAAUAACAUCUGACUCACAAUGAAGGUGUUUGUAUUCAUACUGUCUGAUCCAG